AACGAACGCUGGCGGCAGGCUUAACACAUGCAAGUCGAGCGCGCCGUUCGGGGCGCGGCAGACGCGUGAGCAUCGCGUGGGAAAGUCUGUCUUGGUUCUGAACAAAUCCGGGCAAAUGGAGUUCUUAUCGGAUAAGCUGUCAUGGGGAAAGAUGUAUCGCCGCAGGAUGUGCCCGCGUCUGAUUAGAUCGUUUGUGUGGUAACGGCUCCUCAAGGCGACGAUAAGUAGCUGGUCUGAGAGGAUGAUCAGCCACACUGGGACUGAGACACGGCCCAGACUCCUACGGGAGGCAGCAGUGGGGAAUAUUGGACAAUGGGCGAAAGCCUGAUCCAGCCAUGCCGCGUGAGUGAUGAAGGCCUUAGGGUUGUAAAGCUCUUUUAUCCGGGAAGAUAAUGACUGUACCGGAAGAAUAAGCCCCGGCUAACUUCGUG
Molecule: ribosomal RNA, 431 nt
Filed under: uncultured bacterium
Lineage: Bacteria
Description: partial 16S ribosomal RNA
Rfam family: Bacterial small subunit ribosomal RNA
Source: RNAcentral